This 170-nucleotide ribosomal RNA is filed under the name uncultured rumen bacterium. RNAcentral describes it as "partial 16S ribosomal RNA". It matches the Rfam family "Bacterial small subunit ribosomal RNA", at positions 340 to 524 of the family's 1533-position model. The record is from RNAcentral.
UACGGGGAGGCAGCAGUGGGGGAUAUUGCACAAUGCCAUGGAACUCUGAUGCAGCGACGCCGCGCUGAGUGAAGAAGUAUCUCGGUAUGUAAAGCUCUAUCAGCAGGGAAGAUAAUGACAGUACCUGACCAAGAAGCCCCGGCUAACUACGUGCCAGCAGCCGCGGUAAU